CAAAGGAUAGUUUAAAUAAAAUAUUAAUUUUGGAGAUUAAUGAUAGGAAUUUCUUUCCUUUGA
RNAcentral lists this transfer RNA (63 nucleotides) under Phyllothelys shaanxiense. RNAcentral describes it as "tRNA-Pro". The record is from RNAcentral. Lineage: Eukaryota; Metazoa; Arthropoda; Insecta; Mantodea; Hymenopodidae.